RNAcentral lists this ribosomal RNA (253 nucleotides) under uncultured bacterium. RNAcentral describes it as "partial 16S ribosomal RNA". It matches the Rfam family "Bacterial small subunit ribosomal RNA", at positions 524 to 776 of the family's 1533-position model. The record is from RNAcentral.
UACGAAGGGGGCUAGCGUUGCUCGGAAUCACUGGGCGUAAAGGGUGCGUAGGCGGGGCUUUAAGUCAGAGGGGAAAUCCUGGAGCUCAACUCCAGAACUGCCUUCGAUACUGGAUGUCUUGAGUUCGGGAGAGGUGAGUGGAAUGCCGAGUGUAGAGGUGAAAUUCGUAGAUAUUCGGAAGAACACCAGUGGCGAAGGCGGCUCACUGGUCCGGUACUGACGCUGAGGUGCGAAAGCGUGGGGAGCAAACAGG